CGAACGCUGGCGGCGUGCUUAACACAUGCACGUCGAACGCUGAAGCUUGGUGCUUGCACUGGGUGGAUGAGUGGCGAACGGGUGAGUAAUACGUGAGUAACCUGCCCUUGACUCUGGGAUAAGCCUGGGAAACUGGGUCUAAUACUGGAUACGACAUGCCACUGCAUGGUGGUGUGUGGAAAGGGUUUUACUGGUUUUGGAUGGGCUCACGGCCUAUCAGCUUGUUGGUGGGGUAAUGGCCUACCAAGGCGACGACGGGUAGCCGGCCUGAGAGGGUGACCGGCCACACUGGGACUGAGACACGGCCCAGACUCCUACGGGAGGCAGCAGUGGGGAAUAUUGCACAAUGGGCGGAAGCCUGAUGCAGCGACGCCGCGUGAGGGAUGACGGCCUUCGGGUUGUAAACCUCUUUCAGCACGGAAGAAGCGAGAGUGACGGUACGUGCAGAAGAAGCGCCGGCUAACUACGUG
This 470-nucleotide ribosomal RNA is filed under the name uncultured bacterium. RNAcentral's name for it is "partial 16S ribosomal RNA". It matches the Rfam family "Bacterial small subunit ribosomal RNA", at positions 30 to 507 of the family's 1533-position model. The record is from RNAcentral.